ACGCUCGACACCUACGGGAGACAGCAGUGGGGAAUAUUGCACAAUGGAGGAAACUCUGAUGCAGCGACGCCGCGUGAGGGAAGAAGGUCUUCGGAUUGUAAACCUCUGUUGUCAGGGACGAUGAUGACGGUACCUGACGAGGAAGCCACGGCUAACUACGUGCCAGCAGCCCGGUAAUCUGAGCGGGCUGGCAAGGC
This 197-nucleotide ribosomal RNA is filed under the name uncultured bacterium. RNAcentral describes it as "partial 16S ribosomal RNA". It matches the Rfam family "Bacterial small subunit ribosomal RNA", at positions 328 to 539 of the family's 1533-position model. The record is from RNAcentral.